UACGGAGGGUGCGAGCGUUGUCCGGAAUCACUGGGCGUAAAGGGCGCGUAGGUGGUAACCUAAGCGUGUGGUGAAAGCCCGGGGCUCAACCUCGGGUCGGCCAUGCGAACUGGGUCACUGGAGCACUGUAGAGGCAGGUGGAAUUCCGGGUGUAGCGGUGGAAUGCGCAGAUAUCAGGAAGAACACCAAUGGCGAAAGCAGCUCUCUGGGACGGUACUGACGCUGAGACGCGAAAGCGUGGGGAGCGAACAGG
This 253-nucleotide ribosomal RNA is filed under the name uncultured bacterium. Its description in RNAcentral is "partial 16S ribosomal RNA". It matches the Rfam family "Bacterial small subunit ribosomal RNA", at positions 524 to 776 of the family's 1533-position model. The record is from RNAcentral.